UACAGAGGGUGCGAGCGUUAAUCGGAAUGACUGGGCGUAAAGCGCGCGUAGGCGGUUAUACAAGUUGGGUGUGAAAUCCCUGGGCUCAACCUAGGAAUUGCAUUCAAAACUAUAUAGCUUGAGUGGGGUAGAGGUGAGUGGAAUUUCCGGAGUAGCGGUGAAAUGCGUAGAUACCGGAAGGAACACCAGUGGCGAAGGCGACUCACUGGACCUUAACUGACGCUGAGGCGCGAAAGCGUGGGGAGCAAACAGG
RNAcentral lists this ribosomal RNA (253 nucleotides) under uncultured bacterium. Its description in RNAcentral is "partial 16S ribosomal RNA". It matches the Rfam family "Bacterial small subunit ribosomal RNA", at positions 524 to 776 of the family's 1533-position model. The record is from RNAcentral.